CCUACGGGAGUCAGCAGUGGGGAAUAUUGCACAAUGGGCGCAACCCUGCCCCAGCACCGCCGCGUGAAGGAAGCAGUCUUUCGGGUUGUAACCUUCUUUUAAGGGGGAAGAGCAGAAGACGUUACUCCUUGAAUAAGCCACGGCUACCUACGUGCCAGCAGCCGCGGUAAUACGUAGGUGGCACGCGUUGUCCGGAUUUCCUGGGUGUAAAGGGCGUGCAGCCGGAGAGACAAGUCAGAUGUGAAAUCCACGGGCUCAACCCGUGCACUGCAUUUGAAACUGUUUCCCUUGAGUGCCGGAGAGGUAAGCGGAAGUCCUGGUGUAGCGGUGAAAUGCGUAGAUAUAAGGAAGAACACCAGUGGCGAAGGCGGGUUACUGGACGAUAACUGACGGUGAGGCGCGAAAGCGUGGGGAGCAAACAGGAUUAGAUACCCCAGUAGUC
Molecule: ribosomal RNA, 442 nt
Filed under: uncultured bacterium
Lineage: Bacteria
Description: partial 16S ribosomal RNA
Rfam family: Bacterial small subunit ribosomal RNA
Source: RNAcentral